RNAcentral lists this long non-coding RNA (623 nucleotides) under Crocodylus porosus (Australian saltwater crocodile). RNAcentral's name for it is "lncRNA (ENSCPRG00005013801.1)". The record is from RNAcentral. Lineage: Eukaryota; Metazoa; Chordata; Crocodylia; Crocodylidae.
CAGCUUCACCUGGAGCCUGGAACUCCAUUGCAGGGCUGCAGGAAACUGGGUGAAAAUCCGCUCCCUAAUCUCUGCUUGUGUAGACGCCUGUCCAAAAACACUUACUCCAGAGUAGCUUAUACCAGAGUAAAUUUGGCCCCAAGUAAAUGCAUGUAUAGAUGCAUCCACUAGAAAUCAAAUAUAACUUUAGAAAAGACAUGAUCUUGGCUUUGAAUGCUUCCUUUUUUUUCUUGUACAGAUAAGGACAGGAAGAGAAAGAGAUAAGAAAAUAGCUGAAGUUAAUGGACACUUUGGACACAUUCAGCGACAAGUUUUGGCCUUUCAAAAAUCCCCUUUGGCUUCUGACCUGCAUAUUUUAUGAUGAAACUUCUUUUGAGUAAAUUAUUGCAGAAAAUUAAAUGGAUUCACUACAAAUCCAAGCAAACGUCAGGAAUAUGAACAUCCAUGAACUCCCUGAGAGAGCUCAUCUCAUCUUACACAUAGCAGCUUCCAAGACAGUGCCCUUCAACCCAAGUAACAGAGACCCCAGUGCUGCAAAUGCGUAUGUGCUUAACUUUGAGUAGGAAUCAGGACUCAUGGUAGAAGUGAUUUGUUUUAUUAGACCAACUAGAUUUUUGCAAAAA